UUCGUGUCUCUAUGCCGAGGCAAAACCUAUGCUCACUCAUUUUUUGGUACACAAGGGCCUAGCUGAGAAUAAAAAUGACCUUCAAAGCUUAAAUUUGAAGUGAGGUUCUCUUUGGAUAUUUGGAUAAAAAUUGUACAUUGAUGAAGCUGAAUGCAGAGAGAGUAUAUUGUCUAAAUCCCUCUCUGGUGCCGCAUGCAGCCACAUGUUGCCACACAUUCUUCGCUCUUUUGAGUUACUUUUUGAAGUCGUAUAACACGGUCGAGUUUGAGACAUAGAGGAUACCUCAAGAAAUUUCCCACCUGAAUAACUUCUUGCCACAAUUUUUUCAUGUGCUUUACCGACAGCUUUCAGCCUACCCUUUUGACCAAUCACAGGAGGGAAACUGACUGAACCAGCUGUUUUCACAUCGCUGAUGUGAUCAAUGUGUUGCGCAGAAACUAACCCUGGUUUUGAUCCAACCUUGUUCCAGAAUGGAAAUGAUUGUUGCAACUUUGAUGGAACCUGACAAGCCAAAUGACAACGAUAAAAUAUUCAAGAACUUGCUAAUAAUCAACUCAAACAGUUUCAAUUCUACAUAUUGAAAUGAGGUGCAAUUAGGAUGACCAACGUGACAUAUGUUUUGCUCCUUGGCACAGUGUUACAAGCACACCGAGAUAUACAGUUAUACACAAUCACUAGCAAUUUCAUAUGCCUUCACAAAACAUAUAUGCACUAAAGGUAAAGAAUAAAAUGUUACAUGAUUUGUGAGCAACAGACAGUGAAGCAGUACCCAAAUUUCAACUUUAGAGUUGGUGAUUGUAAUUUGAAUAAUAUUGCAAAAGAACGAUACUUUGACACAAGAAUUGAU
Molecule: long non-coding RNA, 847 nt
Filed under: Medicago truncatula (barrel medic)
Lineage: Eukaryota; Viridiplantae; Streptophyta; Magnoliopsida; Fabales; Fabaceae
Description: lncRNA gene11609
Source: RNAcentral